RNAcentral lists this ribosomal RNA (549 nucleotides) under Dematipyriforma aquilariae. RNAcentral's name for it is "eukaryotic LSU rRNA". The stretch from base 194 to 347 matches the Rfam family "5.8S ribosomal RNA". Lineage: Eukaryota; Fungi; Ascomycota; Sordariomycetes; Savoryellales; Savoryellaceae. The record is from RNAcentral.
UCAUUACAGGGUCUGACGACUGCCCAAACCAAACCGUGAACUAUUUUCUGCUCAAAAAUGCUUUGGCAGGCCGCUCGCUGGGGGAGCCCCGGACUGCCGAGAGGCGGUUGGCCUGCCGAAGGCAUGCAAAUUUAAACUCACUGAAUAACUUUCUGAGAAAAUAUCAUCUCCCUUCGGGAGUAAAAAUUAUCACAACUCAUAACAAUGGAUCUCUUGGCUCUGGCAUCGAUGAAGAACGCAGCGAAAUGCGAUAAUUAAUAUGAAUUGCAGAAUUCAGUGAAUCAUCGAGUUUUUGAACGCACAUUGCGCCCUUUGGUAUUCCGAAGGGCAUGUCCGACCGAGCGUCGCUUCGCCGCUCAAGUCUCUUCUGACUUGGUGUUGGGACCUGCCCGGGCCUCAGGCCCUGGGGCAGUCCCCAAAUGCAGUGGCGGCCCUCAGCGCGGCUCCUCCUUAGCGCAGUAGAGUAAUUGCACUACGCUUCGGGACGCCUGGGUGCCUGCCGUAAAACCGCAGACUUUUUCCCGAGUCGCACCUCUCUAGGUUGGCCUC